Molecule: long non-coding RNA, 1445 nt
Organism: Cyprinus carpio (common carp)
Lineage: Eukaryota; Metazoa; Chordata; Actinopteri; Cypriniformes; Cyprinidae
Source: RefSeq, a predicted model, not a curated record
GACCAGCUGCUGUGGGGUAAAGUUGGGGUGGGGGGUUGGUGAUGAGGCGUACACUGACCCUGGAGGUUGCAUUCCCCUUUAAAAGUCACGGCACACUCGGAUACGCAAGGCUCAUGCAGGAGCUGCUGCGGCAGUGCGAGAACACUGCUGAGCUGUGCAUUUUGUACUGCCAGUGAGCACGCAGAGAGGAGGAGGGGGAGCAAGAGAUAGAAAAAGAGAGAGAGAGAGCAGGAGAAUGAGGCAGGGAGAGAGAGUGAACAAUGUCAUUCCAUUCAGCAGGCAAUGCUGCAGUCAACUUUACUCCACCGGAGGAGAAGACACGGCCGCUUGUGCAUCAUCCCUGCAAGACCUGGAGGUGAGCGGAGGCUGAUUUUUGCUGCUGAAGCAGUAGAGCAGAGGGCGCUGUGCAGAGGAACAAGAACAUGCCUUGACUUGUACCAGCUUGUCAAAAGGGAGUUAAGGCUUGUGGUCAGCACCAGUAACUGUAUUUGCGUUCUCAUCCAACUGACCGGCGAAAGACGAGAGCAGCAUACUAUCCACUGUAGAAUAUAUGGAUAUUGGGACAAACUGAACUGAUAGUCUGGGCACUGGAUAUCCCUUCUCUGGAAGAUCCCUGACUUCACCACGGCUAAUUGGUCUACUGAUGACAUGACCCCUGAGACAAAAGAAACGUAUCCAGAUGUCCUGGAGAAGAUGAGAGACCCUGUGUCAGCAGUAAGGAGACCUCUCACCUACCAUCAUCUCUUGGAAAGCGAAAGCAGAACAAAGGCUUUUUCUUUAAGGGGAAAUCUACAUCUGUCCCUGGCUGCCAUACAAGUACUGUGUGUGGACAUUCCAUGAGCAGAGUAUUAAAGUGUCCAGAGCUCACCCGCAGGAGACAGGAGAAUCAUAUACGAGGAGCCUUUACAAGUCACCAACAGCUGAUAGUGAGAGAUGCUGAAGUGAUGGAAGAGAAGAGAGCGAGUGAGGGAUGAGGGCCGCUGCUGUGAGUGGUUCUUUGGCAGUGUCUUAGCUGGUUGUUGUGUGGAGUGAGAACGAAGCAAUCAGCAAGUAUACUGCCGCAGAAACUCGUCACCUUGGGAGGCCCCUGCAAACGACCCCGCUCACGCACUCAGCUGCCCACCCGCGCUCAGCUGCUGGAGAGAGAGAGACGAGAAUAGAGUUUGUACUCAUUAUCAAACUUCUCUUUCCAUUCAUUCUUCUUCUAAUUGUGAGUGUCAGCUUCUGUUUAUUGGCACCGCUGCUUGAACAUUCACAGCUACUAGAGAUUUUCAAGUGAAAGACUGAUUCAUGCUUACAAUGUGUUGGAUCAUAUUUUCUGUGACAUUGUAGUCAUAGUUUAGAUCAAUCCAUUGGUUUUAUUCUUUCUCUUCCAUGAGAUCAGGAGUGAUUCAGUCAAGUGUUAUUGUGAAAAUCAGCUGACUAGAUUUCACAGUUUCAGUAUU